This 460-nucleotide ribosomal RNA is filed under the name uncultured bacterium. RNAcentral describes it as "partial 16S ribosomal RNA". It matches the Rfam family "Bacterial small subunit ribosomal RNA", at positions 338 to 795 of the family's 1533-position model. The record is from RNAcentral.
CCUACGGGGGGCUGCAGUGAGGAAUAUUGGUCAAUGGACGAGAGUCUGAACCAGCCAAGUAGCGUGAAGGAUGACUGCCCUAUGGGUUGUAAACUUCUUUUAUAUGAGAAUAAAACUGGGUAUGCAUACCCUCUUGUAUGUACCAUAUGAAUAAGGAUCGGCUAACUCCGUGCCAGCAGCCGCGGUAAUACGGAGGAUCCGAGCGUUAUCCGGAUUUAUUGGGUUUAAAGGGUGCGUAGGUGGAUUGUUAAGUUAGUUGUGAAAGUUUGGGGCUUAACCGUAAAAUUGCCGUUGAAACUGGCAGUCUUGAGUACAGUAGAGGUAGGCGGAAUUCGUGGUGUAGCGGUGAAAUGCUUAGAUAUCACGCAGAACUCCGAUUGCGAAGGCAGCUCACUGGACUGUAACUGACACUGAUGCUCGAAAGUGUGGGGAUCAAACAGGAUUAGAUACCCUUGUAGUC